CAAUGAUAAUAUUUAAUGUACCAUGAAGCUAGGGUAACAUAAUCAUGUGUAAUUAAGUUCGGUUCAGCCGGAUACAAGAAAAUAAUAUAAUUCUUACUGUUUCCGUAAACAAUAUACAUCAUUUAGACGUUUCAAAACGGAAAAAUACAUGAUACCAACAUUCAAAAACAACAUUAUUUCGGAAGUUAUAGGAGUGUUAACUAUUAUAUCUGACUGAAAUUCAGUCACGGGUGAACAAAUGUUUAUAAUUAUCAACCUGUUACUGAAGAUACGACAUAUUUAUUUAUAUAUGAUGAAUUCAAGAAAAACUUGGAUACAUUAAAUCAAACAAAGAACGAUAUUGCAAAAGCGUAAAUACACAAAUAAGCAGAAUGGGAGAUUCCUGCAGUGGAAGAAUAUGGGUUGGUGUCGCUUUCACUUUUAUUACUACAACCUUCGUAUUGGUAGGGAUCAUUUGUUAUAGAGAGUUUAUAUUUCAUAAAGAAACGAAAGACACAAGAAUUACACGUGAGAAUCUAAUCAAAUUUUACCCGUCAAUAUUUAGUAUAAACAGUGAAAAGUACGUAGAGAUUUUACUCGAUGGUGCAAGAAAACGUACUCCGACGACAGAUAGAUUCAAGACCGAAUAUGAAUGUAAUUUCAACUGCACAAACAAAUUGGAGGGACAAGGCAGGAAAAAACGUCAAUUGUCCUAUGUACACAACCAUGCCUGCUGCCAAUCAUUUCCUGUACAUAUAGCUCCUCCUUUUUGGAACAGUUUAUAUAACGGAUUGAGAGAGAUAGUACAGUUUAAUGACACGCAGUUGGGGUAUCCAUUGCUUCAAAUUUUCUUCCAGGAACAAUGCAGUCAAGCUAUUGGAUGUACUGGGUGUACCUGUGAAUAUGUUGAACAGGCGACUACAGCAGUUGUUUAUAAAGUUGGUUACAGCUCAGCGACAGCUACAGAUAUGUCACACCUUGAGAUAGACCUGUUUUAUUUACAUGGAUGUUGCAAAUGUUUUAACUUGAAUCAAACUUAAAGGCGUUUGCUUUGGAAACUAAAAAAACAAAAAAACAAUUUUUGAUCGAUAACGUGUUAACUACAAAGGUAGAGCAUACAUGCCAUAGUGCUAAGGAGAUAACUGUACUGUAUUUGAAGCGAAGCCUACGUUUAACAUUGUUUACAUUUAGAUGCUAUCCAUGUAAAUUGUUUGAUGUAUUGAAUACACUUUUUUGUCAUAGGUUAUCAAUUUAACACUGAACAUGUAGUAAGAUUAUUUGAA
Mytilus californianus (California mussel) is the source of this 1262-nucleotide long non-coding RNA. RefSeq lists it as uncharacterized. The transcript is spliced from 6 exons. Lineage: Eukaryota; Metazoa; Mollusca; Bivalvia; Mytilida; Mytilidae. The record is from RefSeq and is a predicted model, not a curated record.